RNAcentral lists this ribosomal RNA (491 nucleotides) under uncultured bacterium. RNAcentral describes it as "partial 16S ribosomal RNA". It matches the Rfam family "Bacterial small subunit ribosomal RNA", at positions 29 to 507 of the family's 1533-position model. The record is from RNAcentral.
GUGAACGCUGGCGGUAGGCCUAACACAUGCAAGUCGAACGGCAGCACAGUAAGAGCUUGCUCUUACGGGUGGCGAGUGGCGGACGGGUGAGGAAUACAUCGGAAUCUACUUUUUCGUGGGGGGUAACGUAGGGAAACUUACGCUAAUACCGCAUACGACCUACGGGUGAAAGCAGGGGAUCUUCGGACCUUGCGCGAUUGAAUGAGCCGAUGUCGGAUUAGCCAGUUGGCGGGGUAAAGGCCCACCAAGGCGACGAUCCGUAGCUGGUCUGAGAGGAUGAUCAGCCACACUGGAACUGAGACACGGUCCAGACUCCUACGGGAGGCAGCAGUGGGGAAUAUUGGACAAUGGGCGCAAGCCUGAUCCAGCCAUACCGCGUGGGUGAAGAAGGCCUUCGGGUUGUAAAGCCCUUUUGUUGGGAAAGAAAAGCAGCAGGUUAAUACCCCGCUGUUCUGACGGUACCCAAAGAAUAAGCACCGGCUAACUUCGUG